Misgurnus anguillicaudatus (oriental weatherfish) is the source of this 634-nucleotide long non-coding RNA. RefSeq lists it as uncharacterized. Lineage: Eukaryota; Metazoa; Chordata; Actinopteri; Cypriniformes; Cobitidae. The record is from RefSeq and is a predicted model, not a curated record.
UUUUUCACCAGGGGUGUUUCCUCGCAAAUUUGAAUUUCUCUCAGUAAGGACUGAAGGAUAGCCAUUCACUCAUAAAACCUUUUAAAGGUCAGCAGGAAUGCGUCCAGCAUAAUUUUGGAUCUUUACCAUUGAGGAGACUGGCUGACUUUCUCAACCAACCAUCAUUCACACACAAAAACUUUAAAGGUAACUACGAAUGCGUCUAGAGCAGUUUUCGAUCUUUACCAUUGAGGAGGCUGACUGACUAUCAUCUACCAACCGUCAUGAACACAACAAAAACUAAAGUAAUGUUACUACAAGUGGACCUAUUCAUUGAUUCAUUAUGCUGUGAGUACACCACAGUUUUAUUAGUGAAACAAUAAUGUUUGUGUUUUCUCACUGCUUGGCAUAGACAAAUGUGACCCUGUGUAAUUUGGAAAUUUCAUGGGAAAAGUGUACGUCUUAAAAAUGUUUAAAUGUUGUUUGAUUUAAGGAAAAGUACACUGAUUUACAAUACACUGAGUUUAUUAAAGUCACAAAGAAAUACUUGAUAUAUUUAUAAUGAAUGGGUAAAUCUAAUAUUAGUUUUAAUGUGAAUUUGGACUGAACAGCACACUUUUGUUUUAUGUCUAAAACAAUGUUUGUAAAAUAAACG